GGGUGCGUAACACGUAUACAAUCUGCCUUUAACUGGGGGAGUAGCCCGGAGAAAUCCGGAUUAAUACCCCAUAACACGAGAUCAGGCAUCUGAUUUUGUUGAAAGCUCCGGCGGUUAGAGAUGAGUAUGCGUCUGAUUAGUUAGUUGGUGAGGUAACGGCUCACCAAGACCACGAUCAGUAGGGGAUCUGAGAGGAUUAACCCCCACACGGAUACUGAGACACGGAUCCG
Molecule: ribosomal RNA, 230 nt
Filed under: uncultured bacterium
Lineage: Bacteria
Description: partial 16S ribosomal RNA
Rfam family: Bacterial small subunit ribosomal RNA
Source: RNAcentral